GAUGUUGCAGCUGAAUUCAACCAUGAAUAAAGUAAAAGAUCCAAUGGCAGGAACCAUUUGACAUAGGAAGCGGUUUUGUGAAUGCUACCGCAUUAUUAAACCUGGGAUGACUUUUCGAUUCAAGAUAACUUCAUGAGUCAAUACAAGUCUUGAGGAAUGGCCCCUGCUGCUAAUUUCAGUGGGUUUAGUUUUAGAGGGUCGGGGAUGGCUCAUAGACAGCCUACUGCUGAUAAUGAGUCUGGCGGAUUAAAUGCAUGAGCUUUGAUUCAGACCUUGUCUCAGCUGAUGCAUCAUUGUCACCCCAUACAUUGACUUGAUGGUAAGGUACAAGAAACUCAAUAGGUACAAGAAACUCAGUUAGCACAGCAGGGAAGAGGAAGCUAAUACAUGACACCGUAAAUGAUAAUGUUAGA
This is a long non-coding RNA of Vicia villosa (hairy vetch), 413 nucleotides long. RefSeq lists it as uncharacterized. The record is from RefSeq and is a predicted model, not a curated record. Lineage: Eukaryota; Viridiplantae; Streptophyta; Magnoliopsida; Fabales; Fabaceae. The transcript has 4 exons.